Molecule: long non-coding RNA, 1545 nt
Filed under: Ictidomys tridecemlineatus (thirteen-lined ground squirrel)
Lineage: Eukaryota; Metazoa; Chordata; Mammalia; Rodentia; Sciuridae
Description: lncRNA (ENSSTOG00000034664.1)
Source: RNAcentral
UCAGUUUCCACCCCUGACCGUCCGAAAUGUAAAAGGAGGAGGCGUACCCGCAGUCCCGGCCACGAAGCCACCCUGGGGACCAGGAAGCAGGAAGUGACCCGCCACUUCGAUGGGAUUCCGGGAUCCCCCCAGCCACCAGGGGGCCGGGGCCGAGUGUCUCGACCCAAAUCCCUUCUCCCACCCUCGCAGAGUCUGACACAAAGUGAAAAGGCGGAAUCGAACCCCAGAGCUCAGUUCUAGCCGGCCUGGAGGAUCCCUAGACACCGAAACUGGACUAGGAGGCCGCCUCAGGAUGGAGCCAACGUACCUAUGGGGCCAGGCCCGACCUCUACUUUGGAGACUAAGGAACCCACGAGAGACCCAGCCCGGAGGCGAGUCUAGGAGGGACACAGGGAGAAGGCGCCCCAGAGCACUCACCACCUCCGCCGCGGUCCCCCGCCUCUUCCUGUCCCGGCUGGGCUCCCUCUCCGAGUUUUCCUUCGGUCCCACUUCCGGCGCUCAGCGCUGUCUCAUUGUGCGCGAUUGGGAGCCGGCUGUGCCCCCGCCCCGGCGCUCCGCCGCGCACGCCGGAAACGCGCGCAGCGCCUGGAGGGCCGCCCUCCGCCCCGCCCGCCGUCGCCCAGCUGCCGGGCCGCCCACCGUCGCCACGGCGCUCUGCCCCCGGGUAUGGGUUGUCAAGGCCAGCCCGGUUACGCCCCUCGGCGCCCGCGGGUUGUUCGCCCUCUACCCCGGCGCGCGGGCAGGGCCUUCUCCGGAUUUAUUUCAGAUUCCAUGAUGGUCUGGUGGAAGGUGAGAAGAGACCCAAAGUCCUGAACUGGCUCAUCUCUCAUUUCCAUGGCAGUGGGAGGCUGAGAAGGGCAGGGGAAAGUAUGAAUCCAGUUUUCCACCAAAAAUCAAUGCAGCUAAGGAUACUACUUGGUUUCACCUAUGCCAAAAUAAUAUUUGGAGUACCAAAUAAGGUAAAGAAGGGUAUAGAUACUUGAGAAACUGUCUUCUUUAAACUUUUCUAUGUCAACUCCCCAUUUUUUUUUCCUUUUCCUUUUUUUUCGGAGUACAGGUGCUCUAUAAAUGAGCUACUCUCCUUCAGGCCUUUUUAUUGUGAGACAAGGUCUUUUUGUUGCCCAGGCUAACCUUGAACUUGCUAUCUUCCUACCUUAGCCUUCCUAGUGCUGGGAUUAUAAGUGUGUGCCAUCACUUCUUGCUUCUCUGUUCCUUUUUAAAAUAUUUCAGUAGAUUCUCAUGUAAUCUUCUUGUUCUUAAGUAAUUAUUUUUCUUUUGAACCUUGUAGCACUUUACCACUGAGCUACACACCUCAGCCUAUUUUAUUGUUUUAUUUUGAAACAGAGUAUCCCUAAAUUGCUGAGUCUCAUGAGUUGCUGAAGCUAGCCUUUGAAUUUAGGAUCAUCCUGCUGCAUUCUGCCUCAGGCUUCUAAGUCACUGGGAUUACAGGUAUGUGCCAACAUGCCUAGCUUCAUAAAUAAUUUUUUUUCAUAAGUAAUUUUUGAAAAUGCUCUUCUUUAAAAAUAUUUUUCAUUAGUGCCUUAU